RNAcentral lists this ribosomal RNA (245 nucleotides) under uncultured Thauera sp. Its description in RNAcentral is "partial 16S ribosomal RNA". It matches the Rfam family "Bacterial small subunit ribosomal RNA", at positions 1137 to 1382 of the family's 1533-position model. The record is from RNAcentral. Lineage: Bacteria; Pseudomonadati; Pseudomonadota; Betaproteobacteria; Rhodocyclales; Zoogloeaceae.
ACUCUAAUGAGACUGCCGGUGACAACCGGACGGAAGGUGGGGAUGACGUCAAGUCCUCAUGGCCCUUAUGGUAGGGCUUCACACGUCAUACAAUGGUCGGUACAGAGGGUUGCCAAGCCGCGAGGUGGAGCCAAUCCCUUAAAGCCGAUCGUAGUCCGGAUCGUAGUCUGCAACUCGACUACGUGAAGUCGGAAUCGCUAGUAAUCGCAGAUCAGCAUGCUGCGGUGAAUACGUUCCCGGGUCUU